RNAcentral lists this long non-coding RNA (568 nucleotides) under Olea europaea (common olive). Its description in RNAcentral is "long non-coding RNA (OEUR_LNC014261)". Lineage: Eukaryota; Viridiplantae; Streptophyta; Magnoliopsida; Lamiales; Oleaceae. The record is from RNAcentral.
CCCCUAAAUUUUGGAAAAUUAUUUAAUCUGGGCCAUUAAACUUUUGAAUUUUGCAAUUAAAGUCCCCAAAGUUCAUAAUUAAUUAAAAUCAGCCCUUAAAGUUUUAAAAUUUUUCAAAUUUUGACCCCUAAAGUUUUGAAUUAUUAACCCUUAGGUCCCUAAACUUUCUAAAGGCAUCUAAUAAUGCAAAAUUAGUGAUUCUCUCUCUAUAAUUUUGGUACUAAAGACUCCCUUAAGAGGAAUAAUUAAGAUUUAAUUAUGUGGAACAAUAAAAUUCAAAUAUUUUGGUAAUUUAUUCAUAAUAAAUUAAGGUUAUCUAGCAUUUUAAAUAAACUAAUUGAAACAAUAUGUCGCCAAAGUGACCUCUUUUGUGUAGAUUGGUUUAUUUGGAUGUUUAGAUGUGUGUGUGUUUCUUCAUGCGGGUAUUAACCGGCCCAAAGGAAGGUUAAUACUUGGCCGAAUUACAUACAUUCUUGUGGUGGUGAAUGUGUGACAAUUAUAAGGUUUCCAUGUAAAUAAUAAAUCAAUCCAAAGAUAGGUUUAUUAUUUGACAGGAGUUAUUGUCAAU